GGGCUUUUAGCUCAGUUGGUUAGAGCAACAGACUCAUAAUCUGGAGGUCCUUGGUUCAAGCCCAAGAUGGCCCACGA
RNAcentral lists this transfer RNA (77 nucleotides) under Bacteroides ovatus. Its description in RNAcentral is "tRNA-Met". It matches the Rfam family "tRNA". From Rfam's summary of the family: Transfer RNA (tRNA) molecules are approximately 80 nucleotides in length. Their secondary structure includes four short double-helical elements and three loops (D, anti-codon, and T loops). RNAcentral also lists the same sequence under 16 other names. Lineage: Bacteria; Pseudomonadati; Bacteroidota; Bacteroidia; Bacteroidales; Bacteroidaceae. The record is from RNAcentral.